Molecule: transfer RNA, 69 nt
Filed under: Ovis aries (sheep)
Lineage: Eukaryota; Metazoa; Chordata; Mammalia; Artiodactyla; Bovidae
Rfam family: tRNA
About the family: Transfer RNA (tRNA) molecules are approximately 80 nucleotides in length. Their secondary structure includes four short double-helical elements and three loops (D, anti-codon, and T loops).
Source: Rfam by way of RNAcentral
CCUGGUGGCUCAGACAGUAAAGCAUCUGCCUACAAUGCAGGAGAUCCAGGUUCAGUCCCUGGGUCAGGA